UGAAGUGACAGGGAUGCCUGAAAAUGUU
Molecule: non-coding RNA, 28 nt
Filed under: Homo sapiens (human)
Lineage: Eukaryota; Metazoa; Chordata; Mammalia; Primates; Hominidae
Source: RNAcentral